GUCCGUGAAGUGUUCGGAUCGAGGCGACAUGGGCGGUUCGCUGCCCGUGACGUCGCGAGAAGUCCACUGAACCUUAUCAUUUAGAGGAAGGAGAAGUCGUAACAAGGUUUCCGUAGGUGAACCUGCGGAAGGAUCAUUGUCGAAACCUGCCCAGCAGAAAGACCUGUGAACACGUUAGAAUCACUCGGGGGGCGAGGGGUGUCAAUGAGCCUCGAACCCCCUGUGCCUAAGGUUUGCGGCCAUGGUCGAUGCCUUAGGCUUAAAAACAAACCCCGGCGCGGAAUGCGUCAAGGAAAAAUAAUGGAACGACCCAUACCGCCAUAGCCCCGGAAAACGGUGCAUUGCUGUGGUGGUUGAUUCGUGAUUGGUUUAAGUCAAAACGACUCUCGGCAACGGAUAUCUCGGCUCUCGCAUCGAUGAAGAACGUAGCGAAAUGCGAUACUUGGUGUGAAUUGCAGAAUCCCGUGAACCAUCGAGUCUUUGAACGCAAGUUGCGCCCGAAGCCAUUCGGCCGAGGGCACGUCUGCCUGGGCGUCACACAUCGUUGCCCCCCCAAAAAACCCCAUGCCACUCCGUGUUGGGUGUGUGUGGAUUGAUCAGGGGGCAGAGGAUGGCCUCCCGUGCGCACUUUGCCUCGCGGUUGGUCCAAAAUUGAGUCCUCGGUCACAUCAUCGUGGCAGUAGGUGGUUGUCGAUCAUUCGGUGCCCCGUCACGUGUGUCGGCCUUGCGUCGGGACUCUUGUAGACCCCAAUGCAUCUCUUGUGGAUGCUUCCAACGCGACCCCAGGUCAGGCGGGGCUACCCGCUGAGUUUAAGCAUAUCAAUAAGCGGAGGAAAAGAA
Molecule: ribosomal RNA, 840 nt
Filed under: Brosimum oligandrum
Lineage: Eukaryota; Viridiplantae; Streptophyta; Magnoliopsida; Rosales; Moraceae
Description: eukaryotic LSU rRNA
Rfam family: 5.8S ribosomal RNA (bases 382-537)
Source: RNAcentral